GGGACAGACAGUUAAGUCCAAGCACGAUAGAAAGUGAAUGAAUUGUUGUGAACUAUAGUGUGUGUAACUGUGAUAAUUAAGUACUUU
Long non-coding RNA from Limulus polyphemus (Atlantic horseshoe crab), 87 nucleotides. RefSeq lists it as uncharacterized. The transcript has 3 exons. NCBI's taxonomy places the organism in Eukaryota, Metazoa, Arthropoda, Merostomata, Xiphosura, Limulidae. The record is from RefSeq and is a predicted model, not a curated record.